CACUCAUUACCAUAACAUACACCAUUACCACCUUAAUUAGAUGGUGGUCCUCUCCCUAGCCUAUAAAUACAUCCAGCCUUCACCAUAACAAAAAGGGAGGAGAUCCAUCCAAACACACAUUCACACAGACAAUUUAGGGAGAAGGGAGGAAGACACAUUUUGUCGCAAGGCAGAGUCUUUUCUUCUUAACCAUUUUACACAUUCCCACAACAAAAACACAAUUCCAUGCACCUUCAUUUCCCUUUCCUUGCCGUGACCUCCAUCCAACCUAAACACAUUCAGCUAUUCCCUUCCAUAUAUCCAUACGCAUCCAUCAAACCACACCUUGUGUCGCAACAAAGAGAAGAAGGAGGACCCUUGGACGUGCUUGUCAUUCAAGUUGGAUUGUUGGAGCGUUUUUAGGUGUUUUCAUUCUUUUGUUUUCAAUGUCUAAAAUUGUUUAGCUUUGCUUUGUGAGUAUGAGGAACUAAACCGCCCUUAGCAAGGGGGAAUUCGAAACCAUGUUCAUGCUUGCAAUAUGAUUUGAUUACUUUCAGUUGUGAUUCAUAAGUUGUGAAUUCAAUCUACUUAUCCAUUUGAAUUAAAACUGAUUUAUGUGUGUUGGUUAAGAGUGCACGCUUAAUUUUCAUGCAUAAAUCUAAUGCUAGGAUAUAAGGGAGUUUCACCUAAUCGUUAUGAACUUAUAUUCACAAGUAGUGAAGGUUGCUCGUCACAACCGUGUUAAGUAAAUUCUUGGCAUAAGUUUCAUGCAAUUCAUAUUUACAAGUGUUUCAUCAAUGCUUAUGAUUUUCAUAGAACUUAAUGAUUCUUGCUUGUAUCUCUAUUAUGCAAUUCAUGUAGGGAACUUGUGGGGAAUGCUUUGGGUUGUUGUAUGCAAUCAUCCAAUUCAAUGAAAUUAGGAAAAUCUGAGGGUUAAUUAGUGCAAUUCACAGUUAAUCUGGGGCGUUGAGAGUUCAUAGUUUAUUGAAAAGCAACUAGAAAUCGUUUUGUUUGCAAGUGUGUCAUGUGUGGAGAAGAACCUCCUAACUAGCCUUCCAUCCAUUCAAUUUACUCAAAUUCGUGCAGAUUUCAUUAGUUCUUUAAUUUACUUGUUUUGUUUUCAAAUUCGUCAAAACCAAAACCCCUUUUACCUUGUUGAGUCAUAUUAGUUAGAAACUGAUUUAGUUUGUGUUUUUAAGUAUUUCGAACUAAGUUAAAACCAAAAUUCGUCCAAAAGCGUGUUUAGAGUCCAAAUCUGCCCAGUUUGUGUUUUUAGGCAGAUUUGAGUAUUUUUAGCUUGUUUUGAGUUCUUUGAGUUUGUUUUGAAUUCUUUGAGUCUAGUUUAGUGUUUUUAACUUUGUUCAUAUGUUUUUAAGUCAGUUUGGAGAUUAUUAGCAAGCCCUCCUAAUCCCCGGUCCAGAACGAUCCCUACUUACAUUCUUUACUACAAUUGAUACAAGAGGGUUUAAUUUGUGUGUUAAGUAAAUUUUUGCAUCAAAUUUUUGGCGCCGUUGCCGGGGAUUAGUAACUUUGCUAAUCCCUUGUUAUUUCUUCUUGUAUAUUUUCGUGUCUUUUGUUUUUAGUUACUGACUUUGUUUCUGUUUGUGUUUUUUUUUUUUUUUUUUUUUUUUACUUUUGAUAUUUGAUUUAGUUGUUUCCUUGAUUUCAGGUACUAGAGAAGUAAGACAUGGAUUUUGCUACCAUUUAACCUCAAUUGGCAAAACUUACUUCUCAAUUGUCACAAUAUGCUGAAAGGACCACAAUGCAAAGUGUCCCUACAUAUGGUGUGUCCUAUGAGCAAGGAUAUCCAACUCAUCAAUGUUCUCAAUUCGCUGCGAAUGAAGAUGCUUGGGGUUAUCAAGGCCAUAGCCAAUCAUGGGACAACAUGUUUUCCAAUGCUUACAAUUCAGAUUGGAGAGAUUAUUCAGAUGACAUGUGGGGAGAACCUCAACAAUUCCAACAAGAUGGAUAUUGGCAGCAAGAAGAGGAGUUCUAUUCAAGACCUAUGCAGCCACCACAACCUCCUCCACAACAAUUCCAAUCAAAUUCAAGUAUGCCUAUGAGUUAUGAUGAAAUCCUUGAUGUACUAACCACUUUGACGUAGGGCUCACAACUGUUGGAAAUAUGCCCUGAAAGUCAAUCUUUGGAAGAAACCUUUCAGGACAAAUGAAUGGAUGUAUAGAUGACUCUUAUACAUCAAAUGGCAAAGAUACUAAUUAGGACUAUCUCAACGAACGAUAUAUGUCCUAAAUAGUGUAUCCAUGGACAAUGGAUCGAUUGAAGAAGUAAUCUAAUGAUGUUAGACUACAAAGACCUUCUUCACAUAACCAUUAUGUCCAAAAGGUUCCUGGUCAUAGGAUUGUCGGAGGGAAACUGACAAUGCAUACACCGGUACAUACUAUGUCCGCUUCAAUUGGAAGGAUGGAAAGUCUCAUCCCAUUCGUGUAGUGACACUAAGACAAGUAGGUAGGUGCUCAUUAAAGGAAUGAGUUCACUGAACACAAUCGAACGAGAGUACUUGCAUGGAGGUCUACUCACAUGUCAAGCAAGUAACUCUUAUGGUUGGAAUAAUGUAAGUAGUCAUUUGACCUGAGGCAUUGUCGUUGUCUUGUGGUUAAGUACUUGAUCUUUGAUUAUGUUAAAGUCACCCCAUUCGCGAGUGUCCACGGCAUAGUUGGGGUUAAGCCACUUAGUCAUGAAGGCAAGUGAAUGCGCAACAAGGAAUCUCUAAUCUUAGUUAAGAGAGGAAGAAUACUCUAAGAUAUGAUUCGGGAAUCUUCGGCCGAAGUAUCGAGCGUAAUAAAGGAAAGCGUUCCUGUACGACUCAAUUGAAUCAUAUAAGAAGGAAUAAUCAAAUUAGGGGUUUGACAUAAUAUAUCCAUACCCUAGUAAUGUGAUUGAGAGUAUUGUUUUGGAGAAGGAUCGAAUUACAUUGUAAUUCCAACUGAAUAGGUUCUCCGAACAAAUUCUACAUUAGCUUGGGUAGCCAUGAUAUAUGGUUAGAUGUCACUCAUGGCUUGUGAGUUCUUCUAGAUGAUUAAAUGUAGUAGUCAAAGAAGAAGGUGAAUUAAAAGUAAGUUUUAAUUCACUAAGUGAUUGGAUUAAAUAUAAUCAAUUGGAUUGAUGCCAAUCACCUCACUGCCUUGCUAAUUAGAACCUAAAAUGAUUGUUCACCAAUACACUCUUGGAGUGAGUAAUUAAUGGAUGAUGGAAAUAAUUAAUUGGAUUAAUUAAGUGUUGUGAUUAAUUAGAAAGUCUAAAGAAAUCAUAAAAGCGAUAUAAGAUCGUUUUGGGCUUAAAGAAACGUUCGGGUUUAAUUGGGCCUAAACCCAUUGGGCUUUUAUUCAUGCAUUGGAUGACUUGAAAUAAAUAAAAGCCCAAAGCCCAAACAACACUAAGGGGGCCGGCCACAUAGAGUGAAAGAGGGAGAGAAAGGUCAAAUGUUGACUUGUUUCUUUUUGGCUACAUAAGGAACUUUAUAGCAUAUAUUUUCAUUAGGGUUUUUGAAGUGUUGAAAGAACAAAAAGAGAAAAGAAAAUAUCUCUCUAACACUUACAAAGGCCGGCCACCAUAAGGGUGAUUUUAACUAAUCAUCUUCUCACCCUUUUGGUUAUUCCUUCAUCCUUCUCACUACACUAGUGGGUGAGGAUCUUUAGAGGUUUUCAACUUUGGAAACUUGAAGAGAACCUAGGAGCACUCAUUCUAACAAAGUGGAGGAGGCAAGGAAGGAGGCUAGGCUCAAGGACUUCAAGGAGCAAAGGUCUUGGAGGUGGUCCAUCCUUGGUCUAAGAUCUAGAUCAAGAGGUAUAAUACUACUCCUCAACUUUGUCCUUAAGUAAAUUUGUUUUUGAUGCAUCUUACAUAAACCUAUGAACCUUGAAGGGGAUUUACAUGACUAGAGCUUUGAUAUUAUUUGUUAAAAUGCUUCUGUUGCUUUCAUAUAUAAAUUUUGAAUUGUAUAUGCAUGCUAGUCACUAGAAAUCCUAAUAUGAAAUCUCAUAAAUUUCCCUUCAACAACAAGAAGAAUAUUUGCCGCCAUCGGAUGAGUUCUAUCACUGGACAUAUGAACCAUCACAGCCACCACAACAAUUUGCCCAAUUCAAUUCAGGUACGUCUUUGGAUAAUGAUAUGUUUAAUAAGUUACUCACCUCUUUGAACCAGGAAGUAGAAAAUCGAAACAAAGAGAUGCAAAAUCAAACCAAGAAGACGGGUGAAUUGGAGAAGCAAAUUGGGCAGAUUAUGGAGUUCAUGGUACAAAUUCAAGAGCAAAGUGAACUCUCCAACUCAACUAUUGAAAAUUUGAAGGAAGAUUUUGAAAUCCAUGAUGCUAUCACUUUGGGAAGUGCUAUGGAGGUUGGAGGUGAGCCCAAGACAUCCAAACCAAGCUAAAACAUGGAUAAACAGUUGUUGCUUGAAGAAGAGGAGAAUAACAAGGCCACGGCAAGGGAAGAACCACCCUUGCUGCAGCCCCAUAUGCCCUCUAUGUGGUCCACUACAACCAAGGUAAGCCUAAAUUCAAUUUGUCCUGACCCCGUUUCACCAAAUGUCCUUAUUCCUUGCAGGAUCAUGCAAUCCAAGGAAGAAGAAGGUGAGAAAGGCAUCUUCGAAACCUUUCCAAAGAAUCAAGAGCAAGAAGUGGAUGGGGAAUGUCUAGAAUUCAUCAAAGAAGAUACACUUGAGACGAAAAUUCCCAAAGAAGUUGGAUUUUAUGACACGGGAAAGUCAUAACUCUCAAACACCAAAUCUAGCCAAGUCCCAUAUCCCUGCAACCUUCAAAGAUGUGGUGUUCGUAAUUGAGCUUGUAUUGGAGCAAGCAAGUAAGCCAUCUUCUCCAACUUCGAUUUUAUUAUAUA
RNAcentral lists this long non-coding RNA (4832 nucleotides) under Malus domestica (apple). RNAcentral describes it as "long non-coding RNA (MDOM_LNC013187)". Lineage: Eukaryota; Viridiplantae; Streptophyta; Magnoliopsida; Rosales; Rosaceae. The record is from RNAcentral.